AACAACUGAGGUGGUAUUUAGACACCAUCCAUCUUUGGUGACUUUUCUAUUAAUAUAAAUCUCUAGAUGACAUGUUUUUAUACAUUUUCUUUUCUUAUUUGUUAUUGUUCUACGACUGAAUUGAGAAAAACUGUAACCUCUCGAACCUCAAAAUGUUAAUUUAAAACAUAUCAGCAUGAGCAGCUAAAUCUAAAUGGAAAAUGUGAUUACCUUAUAGUCUUAGCCUCUUAGGAGGUAGGUUAAGCAUCAAUCAGCUUUGUUUUUCUGUGAGAGAAAACCAUUAUUCCAUCACCUGCAAAAAAGGAGUCUCCUUGAUUUCUCUUCUAUUUUGAGAUGAAGUUCGAUUGACAAUUCUACAACACAAUGGAUGUCUUUAAUUUCCUAACCAUGAAAAACUAAUCGACGCAUAUGUUUAACCAAAAAAAAACAUUAAAAAAACAAUCGAUCAUCGUCUAAAAUAGAGACUAUGGAGACUCCUCUACAUGACUUCCGCUGCAACGGCAAGCAACAUGCCCUAGCGCUACGAAACCAAAGUAUAGUGUGGGCCUGAGGCCCACUAUUGACAUUUAAUUUCGUUUUAAAUAAUGGGUUUACUAUUGAAAACACUCAUACUCAAACUCAAACUGAACCAAACCAAACGUAUAAACCGAAGCUGAACUAAACCAAACGUUUGAACCGAAACUAAACCAUAAUCUAUUAAUAAAUCAUUUGGUUUGAUUUGUUUAUUUUAAAAUCCAAAAAGCUGCUUAACAUUUGGCCAUCUUCUCUUUAGGUCCUCUCUUAACGUUGUCUCUUUUUCUUAAUGAAUCGCUCUUGGUCAAAUAAUAUAUUGCGUCUUUCAAAAUUUUAAAAGCCAAAAUGUCAUUCGUCCUUCUUUUUUUUUUAUUAUUGACAACUGAAAAAACAUUACAUCUAGAGUUCGUAUGUACAUAUAUUCUGCCCUCCUCUCUAUCAUAAAUUAAGUAAAGCAUAUGUUUCAAGUUAUUUAUUUAUUUUUAGAUGUUUAAAUAUUCAAGUAGAAAAACAGACGAUGCACUUUCCUCAGAUCUAGCUACAAGAAACAGAGAAGAAUACUAACCUGUAAAUGUAGCCUCCGAUCCUCCUUGCUUUUCCAAUCUCUCAGGACCACCAAAAUUUGAUCAUUGGUGUAUCUAUAACUAUGCAAACCAUAUAACUGUACAUUAUUGUAUACAAGCAAAGUAGAAAAAUAAUUAAAAU
This 1218-nucleotide long non-coding RNA is filed under the name Eutrema salsugineum. RNAcentral's name for it is "long non-coding RNA (ESAL_LNC000075)". Lineage: Eukaryota; Viridiplantae; Streptophyta; Magnoliopsida; Brassicales; Brassicaceae. The record is from RNAcentral.